RNAcentral lists this ribosomal RNA (253 nucleotides) under uncultured bacterium. RNAcentral describes it as "partial 16S ribosomal RNA". It matches the Rfam family "Bacterial small subunit ribosomal RNA", at positions 524 to 776 of the family's 1533-position model. The record is from RNAcentral.
UACGUAGGGGGCAAGCGUUGUCCGGAAUCAUUGGGCGUAAAGCGCAUGUAGGCGGUUCGAUAAGUCUGCUGUGAAAGUCCAGGGCUCAACCCUGGAAAGCCGGUGGAUACUGUCGGACUAGAGUGCGGAAGAGGCGAGUGGAAUUCCCGGUGUAGCGGUGAAAUGCGCAGAUAUCGGGAGGAACACCAAUUGCGAAGGCAGCUCGCUGGGACGUUACUGACGCUGAGACGCGAAAGCGUGGGGAGCAAACAGG